RNAcentral lists this transfer RNA (72 nucleotides) under Aedes aegypti (yellow fever mosquito). It matches the Rfam family "tRNA". Rfam says of the family: Transfer RNA (tRNA) molecules are approximately 80 nucleotides in length. The record is from Rfam by way of RNAcentral. Lineage: Eukaryota; Metazoa; Arthropoda; Insecta; Diptera; Culicidae.
GGCUCGGUAGCUUAGUUGGUAAAGCGCUCGUCUAGCAUACAAGUGUCCUGGGUUCAAAUCCCAGCCAAGCAC